This 253-nucleotide ribosomal RNA is filed under the name uncultured bacterium. RNAcentral's name for it is "partial 16S ribosomal RNA". It matches the Rfam family "Bacterial small subunit ribosomal RNA", at positions 524 to 776 of the family's 1533-position model. The record is from RNAcentral.
UACGGAGGGUGCAAGCGUUAUCCGGAUUCACUGGGUUUAAAGGGUGCGUAGGUGGGCAAGUAAGUCAGUGGUGAAAUCUCCGGGCUUAACCCGGAAACUGCCAUUGAUACUAUUUGUCUUGAAUACUGUGGAGGUCAGCGGAAUAUGUCAUGUAGCGGUGAAAUGCGUAGAUAUCUGGAGGAACACCGGUGGCGAAGGCGGCAUCCUGGACCAUAACUGACGCUGAGGCGCGAAAGCUAGGGGAGCAAACGGG